Molecule: ribosomal RNA, 522 nt
Filed under: cf. Cyllodania sp. WPM-2015
Lineage: Eukaryota; Metazoa; Arthropoda; Arachnida; Araneae; Salticidae
Description: partial 16S ribosomal RNA
Rfam family: Bacterial large subunit ribosomal RNA (bases 136-428)
Source: RNAcentral
AGCCGCAAUUCGUGCUAAGGUAGCAUAAUCAUUUGUCUUUUAAAUGAAGACUAGAACAAAAGAUUUAACUUUUCAAAGACUAUCAUAACUUUUUCUAUUAAAAUUAUCUUAAAUGUAAAAAGACAUUUAUAUAAAAGAAAGACGAUAAGACCCUAUUGAACUUUACUUUAGUUAAACUGGGGUAGUUAAUUAAUUAUUAUUUUAAUCCAAAUAUUUAAAUAAAUAUCCAUAAUAAUGAUAAUUUAGUUACCAUAGGGAUAACAGCGUAAUUACUCUUACGAGACCUUAUCUAAACAGUAGAUUGCGACCUCGAUGUUGAAUUAAUAACCUAUUUCAAGCAAAAUUUUAAUAAGGAAGUCUGUUCGACCUUUAAAAAAUUACAUGAUUUGAGUUCAGACCGGUAUAAGCCAGGUCGGUUUCCAUCUUCUACACAAUUUUUUACAGUACGAAAGGACCUAAAAAUAUUAAAUCUUAUUAAUAUGGCAGACAAAUGCAUUAGAAUUAGAAUCUAAUAAACUAAUA